This 253-nucleotide ribosomal RNA is filed under the name uncultured bacterium. RNAcentral describes it as "partial 16S ribosomal RNA". It matches the Rfam family "Bacterial small subunit ribosomal RNA", at positions 524 to 776 of the family's 1533-position model. The record is from RNAcentral.
UACGUAGGGGGCUAGCGUUGUCCGGAUUUAUUGGGCGUAAAGAGCGUGUAGGCGGCCAGGUAGGUCUGCUGUGAAAACUCGAGGCUCAACCUCGAGACGCCGAUGGAAACCGACUGGCUAGAGUCCGGAAGAGGAGAGUGGAAUUCCCGGUGUAGCGGUGAAAUGCGCAGAUAUCGGGAAGAACACCCGUGGCUAAGGCGGCUCUCUAGUACGGUACUGACGCUGAGACGCGAAAGCGUGGGGAGCGAACAGG